AUGAUUUUGAUGAAAGUGAUGAUUUCCAAAGUGAAGAGAUUAGUGAAGAUAUGAAGGACAAUGAACAUGAAGAAGAUGGGAAGGGAAGACAAGAAAUGGGGGUGUUAAGAAACACCAUUGCACAAAGUUUAAUGAAUGCAUCUAUUUAGCAUUUAGUUCCAAUUUGAAAUGGCUUCACUAUAUUUUGUGUAAUGCACUCUUUGACUAUGGUGGAGAAAUCUUUUGUAUAUUAUUUAAGAAUUUCAUUUGACUAUGGUGUUAAGAAAUCUUAUGUAAUAUCGUGGAUUAACUUUAUAAUUCAGUUACAUACAAAAGAAACAACUAUUUAUUGAGUGCAGCUAUUGGGACCUCCAGAUUUGCUCAGUGUACGUCCAUGUCUCUUUACACCUCCAUUUUAUUUUUAAAAACAAGCAUUUGCUCAUUAAACCUCCUUUCAAAUUCCUAAAAUAACCUUAAGUUUGUUAUUCAUAUAUAUUUCAAUAAUUUACUCAUUAUACCUCUUAUACGCUCUUUAGACCUCCCACACUUUAAUUUUUCUUUUUCUUUUUGCAUGCAAACAUCUAUUUUAGACCUCGAUUGCUUCAUUUCUUUUUUCUUCUUCUCUUUUUUCAUGAAAACCUCUUUCGCAACCUAAAUCCCUUGUUGUUGUUGUUUUUAUUUUUUUUUUUUUUUUUU
This 675-nucleotide long non-coding RNA is filed under the name Fragaria vesca (wild strawberry). Its description in RNAcentral is "long non-coding RNA (FVES_LNC004524)". The record is from RNAcentral. Lineage: Eukaryota; Viridiplantae; Streptophyta; Magnoliopsida; Rosales; Rosaceae.